UGAGGAAUAUUGGUCAAUGGGCGCGAGCCUGAACCAGCCAAGUAGCGUGCAGGAAGACGGCCCUAUGGGUUGUAAACUGCUUUUAUGCGGGGAUAAAGGAGUCCACGUGUGGAUUUUUGCAGGUACCGCAUGAAUAAGGACCGGCUAAUUCCGUGCCAGCAGCCGCGGUAAUACGGAAGGUCCGGGCGUUAUCCGGAUUUAUUGGGUUUAAAGGGAGCGUAGGCCGCGUUUUAAGCGUGUUGUGAAAUGUAGACGCCCAACGUCUGCAUCGCAGCGCGAACUGGGACGCUUGAGUACGCGCAACGUUGGCGGAAUUCGUCGUGUAGCGAUGAAAUGCUUAGAUAUGACGAGGAACUCCGAUUGCGAAGGCAGCUGACGGGAGCGGCACUGACGCUUAAGCUCGAAGGUGCGGGUAUCAAACAGG
RNAcentral lists this ribosomal RNA (424 nucleotides) under Verrucomicrobiota bacterium. RNAcentral describes it as "Verrucomicrobia bacterium partial 16S ribosomal RNA". It matches the Rfam family "Bacterial small subunit ribosomal RNA", at positions 355 to 776 of the family's 1533-position model. Lineage: Bacteria; Pseudomonadati; Verrucomicrobiota. The record is from RNAcentral.